AACUGAAGAGUUUGAUCAUGGCUCAGAUUGAACGCUGGCGGCAGGCUUAACACAUGCAAGUCGAGCGGGGGAAGGUAGCUUGCUACCGGACUAGCGG
Molecule: ribosomal RNA, 97 nt
Filed under: Acinetobacter baumannii ABNIH10
Lineage: Bacteria; Pseudomonadati; Pseudomonadota; Gammaproteobacteria; Moraxellales; Moraxellaceae
Description: partial 16S ribosomal RNA
Rfam family: Bacterial small subunit ribosomal RNA
Source: RNAcentral